This 20-nucleotide microRNA is filed under the name Arabidopsis thaliana (thale cress). RNAcentral's name for it is "ath-miR5645d". Lineage: Eukaryota; Viridiplantae; Streptophyta; Magnoliopsida; Brassicales; Brassicaceae. The record is from miRBase by way of RNAcentral.
AUUUGAGUCAUGUCGUUAAG